RNA transcript from Nycticebus coucang (slow loris), 3127 nucleotides. RefSeq lists it as uncharacterized. The record is from RefSeq and is a predicted model, not a curated record. The transcript is spliced from 6 exons. Lineage: Eukaryota; Metazoa; Chordata; Mammalia; Primates; Lorisidae.
UCCGAACUCCGGAUUCGGAAAAUCCUGCGCUGGUUCCUCACCACACGCACCCUCAGGUGGAAGCCUAUGAAAAUGGGAACCUGAAAAAGCGCACCGCUAAGUGGACGCGGACUGAGCUGUGGGACUACUUAUAUUGGACGCAUGCAUCUCAAUUGGCAGAACCUUCAUCACACCUGGAGGUCAGAUCUUGCUGCUAAAACUUCUGGAAAACCCAGAUGCCACUCCCAGCUACUCAGGAGGCUGAGGUGGGAGGAUCUCUUGAGGCCAGGAGUUUGAGGCAGCCGUGUGCUAUGAUUGCACCUGUAAAUAGCUGCUGCAUUCUAUUCUGCUCUCAACAUAGUGAGAGCUCAUCACAAAGAAAAAAUAUAACUUCUGAAAAAUGUAGCUUUUAGCAUUGCAACUAAUACUAUACAGAAGUGGAUUUAUGUCCUCUCCUCUCAAAGCUGCUUCAAUCAAUGGACAAUACUAGUGAGAGUGACACCAUACGAUCUGAAGCUGUAUCAUAAUUGUAAACACAGUUUCCACCUCACUUUCUGAAACAACCCUUGGAGCUGAGAACCACAAGCCCAGACACGAACUAUAUAAGUAAAGCAACCUCUAGGUGAUUUUGGCUGCAGCCAUUCCAGUCUUCCUAACUGAGGUUCCAGACAUUGUGAAGGGCAGAAGGCACAGAAGGGUGGUGUUGGUCAAGCCUUGUUUGGGCCAUAGCAGAAGCCUGGAGGUAAGGAGAGGUUCCCAGAAGAACAAAGGAUUAGUCACAGCAAACAGGUGGGGCGGGGGAGGCCCAGGAGGGGAAUGCAAUGGAAGCAAGCGCCUGGAUAUUCAGAACUAAGAUCAGGAUGGAGGGAGCAAGGGCUGGGAUAUCUGGACGCUGCACAUCUGGACACCUGGGUGAAUGGACCAAAGAGAUGUGUCCAGAAAGGCAGAGGGUGGGCCACAGCAGACCUGGGAGCCUUUGGAGUCUCAACUUCCUUUCAUGCUUUUCCUUUCACAGGGAAGCCACAGAAGGACUAAACCAAAAGGGGAAAGGGCUGGUGUCUGGGGCUUCCAGCCCAAGGGAGGUGACACUGGGGAGGGGUAGAAGGAGCAGUGUAUAGGCUCAGCACCUGUAGCUCAGUGGUUAGGCAGCCACAUACACCAGGGUUGGCAGGUUCGAACCCACCCAGGCCUGCCAAACAACAAUGACAACUACAACAACAAAAAAAAACAGGCAUUGUGGCGUAGUUACUGCAGUCAUGGCUGUAGUCAUAGCUAUGUGGGAGGCUGAGACAAGAGAAUCAUUUGAGCCAAAAGAGUUUGAGGUUGCUGUGAGCUAGACACCGUGGCUCUCUACCGAGGGUGACAAAGGAAGUCUCUGUCUCAAAAAAAAAAAAAUCUCAUACCUGCAAAGACUUUUUUGGUUGGGUUUUGCUUGUUUGUUUUUUGUUUGUUUGGUUUGGUUUAGUAUUUUUUGCAGUUUUGGCCAGGGCCGGGCUUGGACCUGCCACCCCUGGUAUAUGGGGCCGGCACCCUACUCCUUGAGCCACAGGCGCCACCUGCCAGUAUCUUCUUGGGGACAUUUUUUUUAGCUUACUAGCAUUUCAUAGUUGCAAAAUGUUAUAAUAUGUAUAUUCUUUUGUAUCUUGCCUUUUUAAAUGUAUGACCCAAAAUACGAUUCCCCGUGCCAUUACUUACACCGAAAAUAGCAGUUUGAUGGUUAUGUAUGGAUCUUCAUGACUGUGAGUAGUUUAAGACUUGUAAAAUAUAUCACCAAAUUGGCAUUUAAAAAAUAUAUAUUAAUGUAUUAUCUUAUAUAUAUAAAUGUAUUAUCUUAUUAUUUGUGUAGGAGAUGCCUGUUUCAUCAUAUCCCCAGCAGCACUGAGUACUGGUUUUUGUUUUUUUUUGGAAGUGUUAGUUGUUUGCUGAUAUUUCUUUAGAAAUCUAGUGUUUUUCUUAUCAAUUUAUUUCUUUUUUUUAAUAGUAUUUUGUUGUUGUUGUUGUUGUUGCAGUUUUUGGCCAGGACCAGAUUUGAACCUGCCACCUCUGGUAUAUGGGCUGGCACCCUACUCCUUGAACCUACUCUUAUCAAUUUCUAUUGGGAUAUAUAUAUAUACACAUACAUAUAUAAUAAGGAUACCAAUCCUCUGUCUUUUUUUAGCAAUUUUUUUUUGUCAUUUUAUAAUUUGCUUUUAUGGCUAUGAUCUUUUCGAUAGCUAUCUAUUAGUUUCUUUGUCAUUUCAAACCCUGCCUUUAUACUUAGAAUGUCUGCUUCUCUCAGAAAGCAGACACUACAGUGGUUUACAUAGCAUGGUGUUUGAUGUCAGAAAAGCCUGGAUUAGUAUUUAUCCCAUAGGAAUGGAUACUGAUUGUUGCAAAACUUAAACAAAAUAAUUUAAGUUAAAAAAAUAAGCACUCACACCAUUUCUUUUAGUUCUGUUUAGGAGAAGAACAAAUUCAGGCUGAGAGUGCUGGCCCGCGCCUAUAAUCCUAGCACACUAAGAGGUUAAAGUGGAACGAUCUCUUGAAGUCAAGAGUUGGAGACCAGUCUGAAUAAGAGAUUGAAAAUGAAGAACAAGCAAUUCUUGAAAUGACAUGAACUGGUGUUAACAUUGGUCUGGCAGAGGGAUGGAAUCGAAACGAUCGGGGAGAAAUUACUAACUUUUUUCUUUCCACACCUCUGCAUUGUUGGAAGGAAUUGUUUGUGCAAACCCUUACUUUGCACUAAUAAAAGCUCAAACCCGACCAAACCUUGCUAUUUCUCAUAAACGAUACGCUUGAAUUGCACACACACUAGAAACAAGUGAACUUGACGCUAUCAGGUAUUUUUUUGUACAGUAUUGGUUUGCUGUCUUUUUCUUUGAGUGUUUGUUGAACCUCGUAAAGUCUGCUCCCCCUGUCCCCUUUAGUUUGCUCUGCCUGUCCCUUUCCUGCGGGUAUUUUUGCUGUGGAGCCUGCCAACUCUGUCCUGCCCGCUUAUCUCUUUGACUCCAGUUUGGAGCCUGAGCUGCUUCUGUGGGGGCAGCUACUGUGUGCACUCUCGACCUUUGCCACUUGCCGCGCUGGUGAGAACUGGAGGAGGAUGUGGUUUAGCCAGAAUGUGACACAAGCGUCCUUGUUUCUGGAAUAUACCCCGAAGUACAAGUCUCAU